UACGAACCGUGCGAACGUUAUUCGGAAUCACUGGGCUUAAAGCGCGUGUAGGCGGAUGGGAGCGUCGGAACCUGAAAGCCCCCGGCUCAACCGGGGAAGUGGGGCCGAAACGACCCGUCUGGAGGGACGUAGGGGGAUCUGGAACUUCCGGUGGAGCGGUGAAAUGCGUAGAUAUCGUCAGGAACGCCAAUGGUGAAGACAGGUGACUGGGCUAGAUCUGACACUGAGGCACGAAAGCGUGGGGAGCGAACGGG
RNAcentral lists this ribosomal RNA (254 nucleotides) under uncultured bacterium. RNAcentral's name for it is "partial 16S ribosomal RNA". It matches the Rfam family "Bacterial small subunit ribosomal RNA", at positions 524 to 776 of the family's 1533-position model. The record is from RNAcentral.